This 513-nucleotide ribosomal RNA is filed under the name uncultured bacterium. Its description in RNAcentral is "bacterial SSU rRNA". It matches the Rfam family "Bacterial small subunit ribosomal RNA", at positions 968 to 1482 of the family's 1533-position model. The record is from RNAcentral.
ACCUUCCCUAGACUUGACAUCUCCUGAAUUACCCGUAACUGGGGAAGUCGUUUCGGCGACAGGAAGACAGGUGGUGCAUGGUUGUCGUCAGCUCGUGUCGUGAGAUGUUGGGUUAAGUCCCGCAACGAGCGCAACCCUCAUUGUUAGUUGCUACCAUUUAGUUGAGCAGUCUAGCGAGACUGCCGUGGUUAACGCGGAGGAAGGUGGGGAUGACGUCAAAUCAUCGUGCCCCUUAUGUCUAGGGCUACACACGUGCUACAAUGGCAAGUACAAAUAGAUGCAAUAUCCGUGAGGUGGAGCCAAACUAUCAAACUUGUCUCAGUUCGGAUUGUAGGCUGAAACUCGCCUACAUGAAGCUGGAGUUACUAGUAAUCGCGAAUCAGAAUGUCGCGGUGAAUACGUUCCCGGGCCUUGUACACACCGCCCGUCACACCAUGAGAGUUGCCCAUACCCGAAGUCCGUGAGGUAACCUCCCAGGUACCGCGGCCGAAGGUAGGGUCAGCGAUUGGGGCG